UACGUAGGGUGCAAGUGUUAAUCGGAAUUACUGGGCGUAAAGCGUGCGCAGGCGGUUAUGCAAGACAGAUGUGAAAUCCCCGGGCUUAACCUGGGAACCGCAUUUGUGACUGCAUAGCUGGAGUACGGCAGAGGGGGAUGGAAUUCCGCGUGUAGCAGUGAAAUGCGUAGAUAUGCGGAGGAACACCGAUGGCGAAGGCAGUCCCCUGGGCCUGUACUGACGCUCAUGCACGAAAGCGUGGGGAGCAAACAGG
This 253-nucleotide ribosomal RNA is filed under the name uncultured bacterium. RNAcentral describes it as "partial 16S ribosomal RNA". It matches the Rfam family "Bacterial small subunit ribosomal RNA", at positions 524 to 776 of the family's 1533-position model. The record is from RNAcentral.